RNAcentral lists this small nuclear RNA (78 nucleotides) under Rhodnius prolixus. RNAcentral describes it as "U4 spliceosomal RNA". It matches the Rfam family "U4 spliceosomal RNA", at positions 1 to 77 of the family's 138-position model. From Rfam's summary of the family: U4 small nuclear RNA (U4 snRNA) is a component of the major U2-dependent spliceosome. The structure of U4 snRNA from yeast and human has been reported. U4 snRNA presents a k-turn RNA motif in the 5p-SL related to recognition of Snu13 protein. The record is from Rfam by way of RNAcentral. Lineage: Eukaryota; Metazoa; Arthropoda; Insecta; Hemiptera; Reduviidae.
AACCUUGCGCAGUGGCAAUAUCGUAACCAAUGAAGGUCUCCUGAGGUGCGAUUAUUGUUAGUUGAAAACUCGAGACCU